Long non-coding RNA from Chinchilla lanigera (long-tailed chinchilla), 983 nucleotides. RefSeq lists it as uncharacterized. NCBI's taxonomy places the organism in Eukaryota, Metazoa, Chordata, Mammalia, Rodentia, Chinchillidae. The record is from RefSeq and is a predicted model, not a curated record. The transcript is spliced from 3 exons.
GGCAGAAGUAUAGAGCUAUGAAAAGGACAAGGCAACGAGACUGGUAGAGAAGGAAGAAAAAGAACACGGUGGACAGAAAUCACCAGAAUGGCUUAGGGUGCAAGACGGUGGCGGCACUGACCAGGCGAAGGUGCUGCGUGGGAGGUCAGGUGCUCAGAGGGACACAGCAAAGAGGAAACAGUUCACAGUUCCGGCCAGCUGGUGGACAACACAGCCAACGCUGCUGGUGGGUGAGGAAGUCAGUGCACCGUGCAGCCCAGGACCCCCACUCCGGGAGUCCCUCUCAUCGCAGCAUUUGGAGAUGCGUCCUCUUCCUCCCAGCACGGCAGUGGCGGUCCAAGUCCUGGCCCUGAAUAAAAGUAGGAAGCUGCCGUGGAGCCCACUGCUGACGUGCUGUGCUCCAUGCUGGGCUGCACACUAGGUCUGCAGUUAUCGACCAAGGACCUCCUCAGACUGCCUGAUACGCUGUGAAAAAACCUUCCCUGAGCACACUGAGCCAGCGCCUCCCCGUGUCGGUAGGUGCCAUCUGAACGCAGACUGAGCUGUUCGCACCUUUGAGCUAGAGUCCAGCUCCAACACCAUGCCAGUGGGGGUGACAGUAACUGCACGAGUCAACCCUCCCAAGGAGGCAUGGUUCUUAUCACGUUCCUAGCCCUGAACUUGGGGUCCAACACAGGAUUUGGUGGUGGUGGCCUCUGAAUCCACAGGUCCCACACCCACUGAUUCAACCAGCCCCGGACCAAAAAGAUUCUGGAAAAAUGAGUCCUUCUGUCUUUUUCUUGUCAUUAUUUUCUCAGUGUUUCUGUAUGGCAACUCCAACCAUUGUGUUGAUGUUAGGGGUACUCCAGACAUGGUGGACAGUACACAGGAGGCUGUUGGGAGGGGGAUGGGCAUGUGUGUGCACACGUGUUCUCAAAACAACCAAUGCUGGAUCCUGAGACAUACGGAGUUUGCUAUUCCAUGUUUCUCUUUAUUCCAUUGCA